This 67-nucleotide transfer RNA is filed under the name Vermileo comstocki. RNAcentral's name for it is "tRNA-Trp". It matches the Rfam family "tRNA". Rfam says of the family: Transfer RNA (tRNA) molecules are approximately 80 nucleotides in length. Their secondary structure includes four short double-helical elements and three loops (D, anti-codon, and T loops). Further hydrogen bonds mediate the characteristic L-shaped molecular structure. tRNAs have two regions of fundamental functional importance: the anti-codon, which is responsible for specific mRNA codon recognition, and the 3' end, to which the tRNAs corresponding amino acid is attached (by aminoacyl-tRNA synthetases). tRNAs cope with the degeneracy of the genetic code in two manners: having more than one tRNA (with a specific anti-codon) for a particular amino acid; and 'wobble' base-pairing, i.e. permitting non-standard base-pairing at the 3rd anti-codon position. Lineage: Eukaryota; Metazoa; Arthropoda; Insecta; Diptera; Vermileonidae. The record is from RNAcentral.
AAGGCUUUAAGUUAAAUAAACUAAUAGCCUUCAAAGCUAUAAAUAUAAGAGUAUCUUUUAAGCCUUA